CUACGGGGUCUGCAGUGGGGAAUAUUGCACAAUGAGCGCAAGCCUGAUGCAGCCAUGCCGCGUGUAUGAAGAAGGCCUUCGGGUUGUAAGUACUUUCAGCGGGGAGGAAGGGAGUAAAGUUAAUACCUUUGCUCAUUGACGUUACCCGCAGAAGAAGCACCGGCUAACUCCGUGCCAGCAGCCGCGGUAAUACGGAGGGUGCAAGCGUUAAUCGGAAUUACUGGGCGUAAAGCGCACGCAGGCGGUUUGUUAAGUCAGAUGUGAAAUCCCCGGGCUCAACCUGGGAACUGCAUCUGAUACUGGCAAGCUUGAGUCUCGUAGAGGGGGGUAGAAUUCCAGGUGUAGCGGUGAAAUGCGUAGAGAUCUGGAGGAAUACCGGUGGCGAAGGCGGCCCCCUGGACGAAGACUGACACUCAGGUGCGAAAGCGUGGGGAGCAAACAGGAUUAGAUACCCGUGUAGUC
This 462-nucleotide ribosomal RNA is filed under the name uncultured bacterium. Its description in RNAcentral is "partial 16S ribosomal RNA". It matches the Rfam family "Bacterial small subunit ribosomal RNA", at positions 339 to 795 of the family's 1533-position model. The record is from RNAcentral.